RNAcentral lists this ribosomal RNA (499 nucleotides) under uncultured bacterium. Its description in RNAcentral is "partial 16S ribosomal RNA". It matches the Rfam family "Bacterial small subunit ribosomal RNA", at positions 899 to 1397 of the family's 1533-position model. The record is from RNAcentral.
ACUCAAAUGAAUUGACGGGGGCCCGCACAAGCGGUGGAGCAUGUGGAUUAAUUCGUCACUAACCGAAGAACCUUACCCAGGCUUGACAUCGAGGGAAAGCUUCUGAAAGGAAGUCCUCUCCGCAAGGAGACCCGAAGACAGGUGUUGCAUGGCUGUCGUCAGCUCGUGUCGUGAGAUGUUGGGUUAAGUCCCGCAACGAGCGCAACCCUCACCGUAUGUUGCCAGCGUCGAGUCGGGCACUCUUACGGAACUGCCCGUGCAAGCGGGAGGAAGGUGGGGACGACGUCAAGUCGGCAUGGCCCUUACGCCUGGGGCUUCACACAUGCUACAAUGGCCGGUACAGAGGGCUGCGAUCCCGCAAGGAGGAGCGAAUCCCAAAAAGCCGGCCCCAGUUCGGAUCGCGGGCUGCAACUCGCCCGCGUGAAGCCGGAAUCGCUAGUAACCGCAGGUCAGCUAAACUGCGGUGAAUACGUUCCCGGGCCUUGUACACACCGCCCGU